CAGUAGCCACGGGAAUACAGAGGGUGCGAGCGUUAAUCGGAUUUACUGGGCGUAAAGCGUGCGUAGGCGGCUUUUUAAGUCGGAUGUGAAAUCCCUGAGCUUAACUUAGGAAUUGCAUUCGAUACUGGGAAGCUAGAGUAUGGGAGAGGAUGGUAGAAUUCCAGGUGUAGCGGUGAAAUGCGUAGAGAUCUGGAGGAAUACCGAUGGCGAAGGCAGCCAUCUGGCCUAAUACUGACGCUGAGGUACGAAAGCAUGGGGAGCAAACAGGAUUAGAUACCCCAGUAGCCCUGUCUCUUAUACA
Molecule: ribosomal RNA, 301 nt
Filed under: uncultured bacterium
Lineage: Bacteria
Description: partial 16S ribosomal RNA
Rfam family: Bacterial small subunit ribosomal RNA
Source: RNAcentral